CAGUCGCCGCGGUAGUACGUAGGUGGCAAGCGUUGUCCGGAAUUAUUGGGCGUAAAGGGCUCGCAGGCGGUUUCUUAAGUCUGAUGUGAAAGCCCCCGGCUCAACCGGGGAGGGUCAUUGGAAACUGGGAAACUUGAGUGCAGAAGAGGAGAGUGGAAUUCCACGUGUAGCGGUGAAAUGCGUAGAGAUGUGGAGGAACACCAGUGGCGAAGGCGACUCUCUGGUCUGUAACUGACGCUGAGGAGCGAAAGCGUGGGGAGCGAACAGGAUUAGAUACCCCCGUAGUCCCUGUCUCUUAUAC
RNAcentral lists this ribosomal RNA (301 nucleotides) under uncultured bacterium. RNAcentral's name for it is "partial 16S ribosomal RNA". It matches the Rfam family "Bacterial small subunit ribosomal RNA", at positions 509 to 807 of the family's 1533-position model. The record is from RNAcentral.